UACGUAGGUGGCAAGCGUUGUCCGGAUUUAUUGGGUUUAAAGGGUGCGUAGGCGGCCCUGUAAGUCAGUGCUGAAAUAUCCCAGCUUAACUGGGAGGGUGGCAUUGAUACUGCAGGGCUAGAGUACAGAUGAGGUAGGCGGAAUUGACGGUGUAGCGGUGAAAUGCUUAGAUAUCGUCAAGAACACCUAUAGCGAAGGCAGCUUACUAGGCUGUAACUGACGCUGAGGCACGAAAGUGUGGGGAUCAAACAGG
Molecule: ribosomal RNA, 253 nt
Filed under: uncultured bacterium
Lineage: Bacteria
Description: partial 16S ribosomal RNA
Rfam family: Bacterial small subunit ribosomal RNA
Source: RNAcentral